Molecule: transfer RNA, 70 nt
Filed under: Lysobacter sp. Root690
Lineage: Bacteria; Pseudomonadati; Pseudomonadota; Gammaproteobacteria; Lysobacterales; Lysobacteraceae
Description: tRNA-Ser
Rfam family: tRNA
About the family: Transfer RNA (tRNA) molecules are approximately 80 nucleotides in length. Their secondary structure includes four short double-helical elements and three loops (D, anti-codon, and T loops).
Source: RNAcentral
UGAUUUUUAAUUUGCAGCGAGUUGACUCUUAAUCAAUAGGUCCAAGGUUCGAAUCCUUGAAAGCCCACCA